RNAcentral lists this ribosomal RNA (253 nucleotides) under uncultured bacterium. RNAcentral describes it as "partial 16S ribosomal RNA". It matches the Rfam family "Bacterial small subunit ribosomal RNA", at positions 524 to 776 of the family's 1533-position model. The record is from RNAcentral.
GACAGAGGUCCCGAGCGUUAGGCGGAAUUACUGGGCGUAAAGGGCGCGUAGGCGGCCCGCUAAGUCGAACGUGAAAUCCCCGAGCUCAACUCGGGAACUGCGUCCGAUACUGGCGGGCUUGAAUCCGGGAGAGGGAUGCGGAAUUCCAGGUGUAGCGGUGAAAUGCGUAGAUAUCUGGAGGAACACCGGUGGCGAAGGCGGCAUCCUGGACCGGCAUUGACGCUGAGGCGCGAAAGCUAGGGGAGCAAACGGG